GGAGGAGGUAUUGAGACGAUUUCUAGUCGUGGUACCCAUUACCGAACGGGGUAUAGAGAUGACCGAUUUAAUUACAAAGAAAGUGUAUGUAUCCAUGUGUAGCAAGGAUCCUUAUGGACCCCCUGUGACACCAGUAGGAAGGAGUAAAAUGAUAGAGUAGCGAUGGGCAUGAUAAGGAAUCUGACUUUGGGAAAAUAAUGAAGAGUCAAACGUUAUAUGCC
This 221-nucleotide long non-coding RNA is filed under the name Carica papaya (papaya). RNAcentral's name for it is "long non-coding RNA (CPAP_LNC006875)". The record is from RNAcentral. Lineage: Eukaryota; Viridiplantae; Streptophyta; Magnoliopsida; Brassicales; Caricaceae.